UUGAACACAAUGACAGGAAGACCUGGCACAUGCUUGGUCUCCACAGCUGAAUAUAAGGGGCUGUGCACUCGGAACGUAACUCCAAAACAGAGCCAUCACCUGCGUCAGGCAAAUAGGACACCAGCUGAAGUUCCUUCACCCCAUCCACAGAUACCAUAGAGUUGACCUUGUGUGACUGGACUGGCUGCAGCAGAGAAGACUUUGUGGGACUGGACCCAGUUGCUGGUGCAGCUGACUUUCUGAGAACAGAAUGGGAAGCCGCAAGUCAGAGCAGGACAUAGUGGUACAAGAUUCGCUGACAACUACCAGAGAGCAACCACCCCAUGAUGCCUACUUGACCACCACUGAAUUCAUGAAUGAAGUUUCAGCACAUGGAUUCUGAGCUAGAGGGAGCUUUGCAGGAACUGACUGAAACCAUUCUUAACAGCUAAUACUUCUAAUCUGUUUAUACUCGACUACUUUAUUCCUUGAACAAAUGCCAUUGCAAGUGUAGUGUUUAAAAGAGGCAACCAGCCUUUUUUGAGACAUCUAUUUCUUCUUAAUACUGGAGAAGUUCAUCGAUGAACUACUGUGAUCGCUAAGGCAGAAGUUGGCGGAGACAGCAUUUAGGGCCACUGUAUCAACAAUGGAGUACAAAAGUUAAUUAUUCAGUCCUACUAAACCAUGAAUAGAGUGGUCUGAAGACUGACCUAUACUCUUCCUUACAGCCACCUGGAAUUGCCCAAGGUUCUUCAGCCUCCAACGGCAGACCAUCAAAAGAGGAUUAGCGUUCAGUUGCCUAACACCUGUGUGGCAUUGUCUGGACACCUGGCCUCCUCCCCAAAGGGCAGACGACAACCCCUGAGAAUCAUUAUGCAUCAACCAUCAUGGAAGCUGAGCUGCACUCAUCCUGGUGAUCUCCUGAGGACUCAGAAGUAAAUGUGUCCUGAUGUUGCAGGGAAGGAAUAGGAAGAAAAAGAUUCUCUAUUCUCUCUCUCUCUCACACACACACAGAUCCAUGCAGCCCAGGGCACAAUAUCGCCCACACUGACUAAACAGCUAUACUUUGGAUUUCACACCUGUAUUGAAAUGUAAAGUUCAACAUUUCCUUCUCCUGCCCAUUCCCCAUUACAGUAAAUACAAAAUUUAAAAAACUAAAUACAAACAUGUCUGGUCAAAUAUUCUGACUUUUUAUUUGUACAAGUAAAAUAAGAUGCUGCUGUGUACUUUAGGGAUUAAAUAGACUUUUACACUGUAAUUAGAGUGUAAGUGACAAAUAGUUUAAUAGCCACAUUUAUAAAUUAACAAAAUACUUCAUGAUAUGACAUUGUACCCAGCCAGUUAUUAGUCACUUCUAAUAUUGAAGUAA
Gopherus evgoodei (Goodes thornscrub tortoise) is the source of this 1348-nucleotide long non-coding RNA. RefSeq lists it as uncharacterized. Lineage: Eukaryota; Metazoa; Chordata; Testudines; Testudinidae. The transcript is spliced from 5 exons. The record is from RefSeq and is a predicted model, not a curated record.